AGCCUCUUCUCUCAUGGGAGAAGGGGGCCUUUUCUCCUUAGUCAGGCCUGGGGGCCAAGAUCAGCCUUUGAGUAUCAUUGCCAAGAAUGCCACAGAUGGGCAGCUUUGUUUUCCCAAUGCAGACAUUU
This is a non-coding RNA of Heterocephalus glaber (naked mole-rat), 128 nucleotides long. The record is from Ensembl. NCBI's taxonomy places the organism in Eukaryota, Metazoa, Chordata, Mammalia, Rodentia, Bathyergidae.